Molecule: ribosomal RNA, 433 nt
Filed under: uncultured bacterium
Lineage: Bacteria
Description: partial 16S ribosomal RNA
Rfam family: Bacterial small subunit ribosomal RNA
Source: RNAcentral
AACGAACGCUGGCGGCAUGCCUAACACAUGCAAGUCGAACGAGACCUUCGGUUCUAGUGGCGCACGGGUGCGUAACGCGUGGGAACCUGCCCUUAGGUUCGGAAUAACUCCCCGAAAGGGGUGCUAAUACCGGAUAAUGUCUUCGGACCAAAGAUUUAUCGCCUUGGGAUGGGCCCGCGUUGGAUUAGCUAGUUGGUAGGGUAAAAGCCUACCAAGGCGACGAUCCAUAGCUGGUCUGAGAGGAUGAUCAGCCACACUGGGACUGAGACACGGCCCAGACUCCUACGGGAGGCAGCAGUGGGGGAUAUUGGACAAUGGGCGAAAGCCUGAUCCAGCAAUGCCGCGUGAGUGAUGAAGGCCUUAGGGUUGUAAAGCUCUUUUACCCGGGAUGAUAAUGACAGUACCGGGAGAAUAAGCUCCGGCUAACCCCGUG